AUGAACGCUAGCUACAGGCUUCACACAUGCAAGUCGAGGGGAAACGACAUCGAAAGCUUGCUUUUGAUGGGCGUCGACCGGCGCACGGGUGAGUAACGCGUAUCCAACCUGCCCAUCACUUGGGAAUAACCUUGCGAAAGUAAGACUAAUACCCAAUGACAUCCCACGAAGACAUCUGAAUGGGAUUAAAGAUUUAUCGGUGAUGGAUGGGGAUGCGUCUGAUUAGCUUGUUGGCGGGGUAACGGCCCACCAAGGCAACGAUCAGUAGGGGUUCUGAGAGGAAGGUCCCCCACAUUGGAACUGAGACACGGUCCAAACUCCUACGGGAGGCAGCAGUGAGGAAUAUUGGUCAAUGGGCGAGAGCCUGAACCAGCCAAGUAGCGUGCAGGAUGACGGCCCUAUGGGUUGUAAACUGCUUUUAUAAGGGAAUAAAGUGGGUCUCGUGAGACUUUUUGCAUGUACCUUAUGAAUAAGGACCGGCUAAUUCCGUG
RNAcentral lists this ribosomal RNA (491 nucleotides) under uncultured bacterium. RNAcentral describes it as "partial 16S ribosomal RNA". It matches the Rfam family "Bacterial small subunit ribosomal RNA", at positions 29 to 507 of the family's 1533-position model. The record is from RNAcentral.